GGCCUGGUAGAGCGACGGCCGGAUCAGGUCGUUCAUGCCGGCAUCGACGAUGGCGAAGUUCUUGGUUUCACCGGGCUUC
RNAcentral lists this transfer RNA (79 nucleotides) under Modicisalibacter luteus. RNAcentral describes it as "Halomonas lutea tRNA-Met". Lineage: Bacteria; Pseudomonadati; Pseudomonadota; Gammaproteobacteria; Oceanospirillales; Halomonadaceae. The record is from RNAcentral.